GACGAACCGUGCGAACGUUAUUCGGAAUCACUGGGCUUAAAGCGCGUGUAGGCGGCCCGGCACGUCCGUCGCUGAAAUCCCCCGGCUCAACCGGGGAAGUGGCGGGGAUACGGCCGGGCUGGAGGGGGGUAGGGGGAGCCGGAACUUCCGGUGGAGCGGUGAAAUGCGUAGAUAUCUGGAGGAACACCGGUGGCGAAGGCGGCAUUCUGGACCAUUACUGACGCUGAGGAGCGAAAGCCAGGGGAGCAAACGGG
RNAcentral lists this ribosomal RNA (254 nucleotides) under uncultured bacterium. RNAcentral's name for it is "partial 16S ribosomal RNA". It matches the Rfam family "Bacterial small subunit ribosomal RNA", at positions 524 to 776 of the family's 1533-position model. The record is from RNAcentral.